AGGGACUUCCGGUUCUAGUGAAGCUUUGCCAGGACUUCUGUGUGCAACCCCAUACACCUUGCAGGUGGACAGAGCCAAAUGCUCAAGAAAUUGAGGACAUCUAUGGUCUGAAUGGUCAAAUAGAACACAAAAUAGCCUUUCUGAGAGCUCACGUGCCAAAGGAUGUGAAGAUUAUACUCAUUGGCCAUUCCAUAGGCAGCUACAUUUCUCUUCGGGUCAUGAAGCAUGCUCCUGAGCUGCCUCUAAUGCUGCCUACCUUGGAGGCCAAGAAGUGAUACAAGUACAGAAGAGAGAUGAUGAAAUCAUAAAGGAACAUUUACCUAAGGGGCGUGGCAACAGAAAAAUCACCGAGUGAGCCUGGGAACCGAUGUUUCUGUGACUGAUGUCACCACUUGAGAGAUCACGUCUCCAGAGGUCAAGAGGGAACUGAGGCCAGGAAAACCAGGCAGCUGCUGGGAGCUUUCCUAAGUGUAGAAGCUGACGUUUUACUAUGGUAAGACAGAUGGCUGGUGUCCAGUAAAGUACUAUGAAGACAUGAAGAAAGAUUUUCCAGAAGGCGACAUCCGACUCUGUGAGAAAGGAAUAUCCCAUGCUUUUGUCCUUGGUUUCAGCCAGGAGGUGGCUGCCAUAGUUGCUGACUGGAUGAACCAUAAACUGCCCAAAAUAUAAAAACUGGCCCUGGGAAGACGUACCUACAGCUGAUACGUGGGAGCUGUAGGUGUGUUCUGAUUAUGGGUGAAUGUUUAAUCUUAACGCUUAAAAAGGAAACAUGAGACCCUUUUGCUUACAGACUUAGCUCCCUGUGCUAAGACUAAAGUGAACACAGUUGAUGACUCAUUCCACAUGUUCCCUGACUCAGGAUCUCCACAGUGAUCUCCACAAAGAUUCCUCUUUUGACAAGAAGCCUGACAGCGCUGUAUAGUGCAGUUUACCCAACAGGAUCCUGACAAGCCCAAGACAACCUAAAUAUAGGUGAUUCCAAGUGAAUCCUUACUUUAGAAUAGAUUGUCCUAGAUGAAAUUAUGAAACACUGGCUAGAAAAUGAAAACCCACCCAUGAGUGUGAAGUGUGCAGUCAGGUGUGUAAAAUGUGUAAGACUGAGAAGAGCACACCUGCUCUUCCAGCUGCAGGGAGGAAUGAGCAGGGACGCUGGCAGUGAGCUUGGUUUCCCUGCAGGGACGGGGGAAAUCGAGUCAGACGUUGUACGGGUCUUGGCUGAGGUCAUCAGCAUGUCUUCCUGCUCCUGCUGCAGUAAACCAAGAAUCAAGGUUGCCUGACAUUAUCAACUAACUAGACAGAGUUGCUGAAGGAUCCUGACUAUGACCUGCUGCCAGAUGGCCAGCAGGCUCCACCUGAGCCCUAAAAUGCCAGGUCCCUGCAGGCUCCUCUAGAAAAAGAAGGGAGGGAUGGACUGUCCACAUCAAGUGUGUAUGGCUAUGGAGUGGCUCAUCGCUGUGAUUCCUCCAGUGAAGCUCCAUGGACAGGAAGCUGUGAACUGAUGCCUUUCAUGAUGCCAUACGCUACCCUACAAUUCUUCCCUUCUGAAAAUCUAGAACAUACUUUUUGGAAAGAUAUUUUAAAUUGUUGAGUAAAACAUUAGCAUAAAUUUAUUUCCCAUUUGCUUAAACUUUAUUGAACGGAAAGAUAUUAUUUUGCGAAUGAACAGAAGUAAUCCAUUAAAUUUUGAAUUACUUCACCUCUGAAAGUGUAUUCUUGACUGAGAAGUGGAGGACCAGCUAGGCUGCCUUCCCUUAAUUGACUCAAUCCUAAGAUCCCAGAGUCCAGUAAACCCCACUGUCUUUAGUGACAGCUGAUUCACGUUGGAAACAUUCCAUUUUCUUCUAGAGAAAAGCUCCCAUAGCUGUAUCAUUCCUCAGGGGCAGUGAGAUGGUCCUUCCUCUCACAAACCUAAGAUGCUGAUGGACGAUUUGGUUGUUAUGUGCCACCCACUCAGUGGUGAGUGAAGAAAGUUCUAGUCCUUUGUAUGGCUUCUGCAUCAGAGCUCUAACUUCUCAGAGGGGAAAAGCCAAACUCUGGACAAGGCGGGCUUUUAGACCAUGGAGAAGACCGUUAGCUACACAGUAAGGGUUGGUGCUACACCCAAGUCCUCACUGGCAUCUGCACACCAAGGCCUUCUGGAGAGCCGACUGGGAAGCCAGGAUUCACGCUCUGAGGACCUUGGUGGUGGAAAAUCAGUGAACAGAAACAAGUGCUGUUAAAUCAGACCUACCGGAACAAAACCGCAUUCAUUGAUUGCUUCCAGAAAUUACUACUCUGUGUCUUCCAAACUCUACUUAAAAGACCCUGGUGCCUCAUUCCUGUUCCCCAUCUAAUCACCUAAUAAUAAAUAAAUUUAUA
Peromyscus leucopus (white-footed mouse) is the source of this 2358-nucleotide long non-coding RNA. RefSeq lists it as uncharacterized. The record is from RefSeq and is a predicted model, not a curated record. NCBI's taxonomy places the organism in Eukaryota, Metazoa, Chordata, Mammalia, Rodentia, Cricetidae. The transcript is spliced from 5 exons.